GUGCUUAGCGUGCUUUCAUACAUGUGGACUUAAAUAACUUUUUAAAAAGGUGUGUUGUUAAUCCUCCUUGUGUUUCUUCCGGUUUCUGCAUACGUCAUUUCCAUCGGGAGCACUUCCGGGUCAGCGGUCAAUGCCUGUCUCCAUAAGGUGACGUGUUUCCGGUUUUGGAAAUGUACGUGAUCUUCAGAAAUAAGUUCUUAAUGUGCAUGUGCGCCUCAAAUAUAAACAAAUGUCCGUAUUUAUAUAUAAACUUAAUAAACUUUUUCUUUAUAUUUUUGUGUUUACUGAAUUUAUUAAAAAG
Molecule: non-coding RNA, 301 nt
Organism: Pelobates cultripes (western spadefoot toad)
Lineage: Eukaryota; Metazoa; Chordata; Amphibia; Anura; Pelobatidae
Source: the annotation of a GenBank genome assembly